Molecule: ribosomal RNA, 242 nt
Filed under: uncultured Yersinia sp.
Lineage: Bacteria; Pseudomonadati; Pseudomonadota; Gammaproteobacteria; Enterobacterales; Yersiniaceae
Description: partial 16S ribosomal RNA
Rfam family: Bacterial small subunit ribosomal RNA
Source: RNAcentral
GGCGUAAGCGCACGCAGGCGGUUUGUUAAGUCAGAUGUGAAAUCCCCGGGCUCAACCUGGGAACUGCAUUUGAAACUGGCAAGCUAGAGUCUCGUAGAGGGGGGUAGAAUUCCAGGUGUAGCGGUGAAAUGCGUAGAGAUCUGGAGGAAUACCGGUGGCGAAGGCGGCCCCCUGGACGAAGACUGACGCUCAGGUGCGAAAGCGUGGGGAGCAAACAGGAUUAGAUACCCCUGGUAGUCCAG